RNAcentral lists this ribosomal RNA (242 nucleotides) under uncultured bacterium. RNAcentral describes it as "partial 16S ribosomal RNA". It matches the Rfam family "Bacterial small subunit ribosomal RNA", at positions 92 to 334 of the family's 1533-position model. The record is from RNAcentral.
CGACCGGCGCACGGGUGAGUAACGCGUAUGCAACCUACCUACAACAGGGGAAUAGCCCGGAGAAAUUCGGAUUAAUACCGCAUAAAACAGGGGCUCCGCAUGGAGAUAUUUGUUAAAGAUUAUCGGUUGUAGAUGGGCAUGCGUUCCAUUAGCUGGUUGGUAAGGUAACGGCUUACCAAGGCAACGAUGGAUAGGGGAACUGAGAGGUUUAUCCCCCACACUGGUACUGAGACACGGACCAG